RNAcentral lists this ribosomal RNA (181 nucleotides) under uncultured bacterium. Its description in RNAcentral is "partial 16S ribosomal RNA". It matches the Rfam family "Bacterial small subunit ribosomal RNA", at positions 1321 to 1500 of the family's 1533-position model. The record is from RNAcentral.
UGAAGCUGGAAUUGCUAGUAAUGGCAGGUCAGCAUACUGCCGUGAAUACGUUCCCGGGCCCUUGUACACACCGCCCGUCACACCAUGAGAGUUGGAAAUACCCGAAGCCUGUGAGCUAACUGUAAAGAGGCAGCAGUCGAAGGUAGAGCCAAUGAUUGGGGUGAAGUCGUAACAAGGUACC